RNAcentral lists this ribosomal RNA (489 nucleotides) under uncultured bacterium. Its description in RNAcentral is "partial 16S ribosomal RNA". It matches the Rfam family "Bacterial small subunit ribosomal RNA", at positions 30 to 507 of the family's 1533-position model. The record is from RNAcentral.
UUGAACGCUGGCGGCAGGCCUAACCCAUGCAAGUCGAACGGUAACAGGAAGAAGCUUGCUUCUUUGCUGACGAGUGGCGGACGGGUGAGUAAUGUCUGGGAAACUGCCUGAUGGAGUGGGAUAACUACUGGAAACGGUAGCUAAUACCGCAUAACGUCGCAAGACCAAAGAGGGGGACCUUCGGGCCUCUUGCCAUCGGAUGUGCCCAGAUGGGAUUAGCUAGUAGGUGGGGUAACGGCUCACCUAGGCGACGAUCCCUAGCUGGUCUGAGAGGAUGACCAGCCACACUGGAACUGAGACACGGUCCAGACUCCUACGGGAGGCAGCAGUGGGGAAUAUUGCACAAUGGGCGCAAGCCUGAUGCAGCCAUGCCGCGUGUAUGAAGAAGGCCUUCGGGUUGUAAAGUACUUUCAGCGGGGAGGAAGGGAGUAAAGUUAAUACCUUUGCUCAUUGACGUUACCCGCAGAAGAAGCACCGGCUAACUCCGUG